GAAAUGCAUGAGAUUGAAAGACAUGGCCACCUAUCUGAUUUUAUCGUGUUGUUUCUAUAUUAAGGGCUGACACUCUUGAAGAACUUGGAGCUAUCUGAUACUGAAGUUGGAAGCAACGGGCUUCGUCAUCUCUCAGGUUUGAAAAAUCUCGAAAGUUUGAACUUGUCGUUCACCCUAGUAACUGACAGUGGCUUGAAAAGGUUAUCUGGAUUGACAUCUCUCAAAUCACUUAAUCUGGAUGCUCGGCAAAUUUCUGAUGCUGGACUUGCAGCUAUUACAAGUCUUACAGGAUUGACACAUCUGGACCUAUUUGGUGCUCGCAUUUCAGAUUCUGGAGCAAACAAUUGUAAG
This is a long non-coding RNA of Pyrus x bretschneideri (Chinese white pear), 351 nucleotides long. RefSeq lists it as uncharacterized. The record is from RefSeq and is a predicted model, not a curated record. The transcript has 3 exons. NCBI's taxonomy places the organism in Eukaryota, Viridiplantae, Streptophyta, Magnoliopsida, Rosales, Rosaceae.